Molecule: ribosomal RNA, 497 nt
Filed under: uncultured bacterium
Lineage: Bacteria
Description: partial 16S ribosomal RNA
Rfam family: Bacterial small subunit ribosomal RNA
Source: RNAcentral
GAUGAACGCUGGCGGCGUGCCUAAUACAUGCAAGUCGAGCGAACAGACGAGGAGCUUGCUCCUCUGACGUUAGCGGCGGACGGGUGAGUAACACGUGGAUAACCUACCUAUAAGACUGGGAUAACCUCGGGAAACCGGAGCUAAUACCGGAUAAUAUAUUGAACCGCAUGGUUCAAUAGUGAAAGACGGUUUUGCUGUCACUUAUAGAUGGAUCCGCGCCGCAUUAGCCAGUUGGUAAGGUAACGGCUUACCAAGGCAACGAUGCGUAGCCGACCUGAGAGGGUGAUCGGCCACACUGGAACUGAGACACGGUCCAGACUCCUACGGGAGGCAGCAGUAGGGAAUCUUCCGCAAUGGGCGAAAGCCUGACGGAGCAACGCCGCGUGAGUGAUGAAGGUCUUCGGAUCGUAAAACUCUGUUAUUAGGGAAGAACAAAUGUGUAAGUAACUAUGCACGUCUUGACGGUACCUAAUCAGAAAGCCACGGCUAACUACGUG